AUUUUGUAUUUGCAGAACGAGAAAGUCGAAAAUAUAUAUACAUAUAUAUAGAGCAAGAAAAUUGAAAACUUGGAGAAGGAGAGAUUGAACGAGGAAGAAGAAAGUCCAAAUAGAGUGGGUAGACGCUUUCGAGGAGUAGGCUCUAUAUUUAUCGCGGCAAUAAGGCGGCUCGAGGCCGAGUGUCGUCAAGCCAGAGGUCGGAGGGGAAGCGGCAGUAGUGCGGGAAACGUCGGAGUGCAGACCGGCGUCGUCGGGACAAUCGGUGGCCGUCGUUAUCGUUAACGACGCACCAUCCAAUACCGUCGUCACUCUCUCCUAUUUCUUUUCUCUCUCCUAUUUCCCUUUCCUUCCUGUUUCAGUUCCCUACCUUUUCCUCUCACUUUCCUCACCCCGCGCGUUUCUGUUUUACUUGAAUCGCACGGCCAUUCGACCGCUUAACCACCGAACCACCCAACUAUCCAACCAUCCAUGCUUCCCACCCACCCAACCACCCACCUAUCCAGCCACCACCCACCCGUCCUAUCGAGCUAACCAACCAUCUGACCGGAUAAAUCGUUCGUCAGAAAUCUAUACGAGAUGUAUAUAUUUAAAAGUCAUCCCCAAUAUUGAAAGAAUUCUCUUGCAUUCAGUGAAGCAGGUGACAUCAUAUCGAAACAAUACAUCGUAAAUUUCUUCAAAUGCUUUCAAUCCCUCUUCGUUUUUUGCUAGUUGCUAUUUUCUACAAGAUCAUUAAAAUCAGGCUCGAAUUUCGUAUUCCUUACAGAUUUACUUGCAAUUACUAAUAUAUAUAUUUCAAAAAGCAUACUUCUCAUCACCAUUGACUUACAUUUUAAUUGAAACGAGUACAAUUCUAAUAGUUCGAAUUAAAAUUGAACUGAAGCAUUUUCUUAUUCGUAUUUUUUUUUUUUUUUUUGCAAAAGUUUAUCAAGUUCUGCUACUAUUACGAAGCUAUCUCCGUUAAGUUAGCGCCGUGUCGCGUCGCCAAUGGCAUGUUGUUAUACCACGCCAUGGUGACUAUUUCUCUGACCAUUCCCCUGCCGAUUCACGGCACGAGGCCACGCCAGACUACAUCUAGCGUGACCUAGGGUGGCGUGGCACAGUAUCGUUUAUCGCAGAGACCCAAACUCUUGGAAGGGAUCUACGCGACGUCUCACGUAUCUAGCAUCGAAUGCGGCAGGAACGAGGCUAUUAUGCGAGUGCGCAUACAUAUCCACACCAAACGAUCGACGGUAUGCCUGCACGCGAGUCUCACUUACCACGUAUGAAUUUAUGCUUGGCUUCGUGAGAAGAAAGACAAAGACCGAACAGGGAGUGUGAAGAAAUGGAAAUAGUGGAAGAAAGUUGUCAAACUUAGAUUUUUUAUUUCUUUUUUAUUUUAUUUUUAUUUUAUGUUGAAAAUUAAACUAAUUAUUCGAUAUA
This is a long non-coding RNA of Apis mellifera (honey bee), 1419 nucleotides long. RefSeq lists it as uncharacterized. The record is from RefSeq and is a predicted model, not a curated record. The transcript is spliced from 2 exons. Lineage: Eukaryota; Metazoa; Arthropoda; Insecta; Hymenoptera; Apidae.